RNAcentral lists this ribosomal RNA (253 nucleotides) under uncultured bacterium. RNAcentral describes it as "partial 16S ribosomal RNA". It matches the Rfam family "Bacterial small subunit ribosomal RNA", at positions 524 to 776 of the family's 1533-position model. The record is from RNAcentral.
GACAGAGGUGCCAAGCGUUAGGCGGAAUCACUGGGCUUAAAGCGUGUGUAGGUGGAAGCGUAAGUACCUUGUGAAAUCCCACGGCUUAAUCGUGGAACUGCUUGGUAUACUGCGUUUCUUGAGCCAACUAGGGGCUAUCGGAACAAGUGGUGGAGCGGUGAAAUGCGUAGAUAUCACUUGGAACGCCAAUGGUGAAAACAGAUAGCUGGGGUUGUGCUGACACUGAGACACGAAAGCCAGGGGAGCAAACGGG